Molecule: long non-coding RNA, 520 nt
Filed under: Equus asinus (donkey)
Lineage: Eukaryota; Metazoa; Chordata; Mammalia; Perissodactyla; Equidae
Description: lncRNA (ENSEASG00005024591.1)
Source: RNAcentral
GUUGUAUGGCUCUGGGGGGGACUGCGGGGAGGGGGACACAGCGGGGAUUUCCUGAGAGGAGUGGACUUGUGACCCAGAGCGCGGGAGCACCCAGGCCCAGGGACCCCCAGCCUCAGCCCUCAGUGCGGGGCUCCGGGGUGCAGAGCUUCAGAGCAGAGACAGAAGAGCCCAGAAGGAAGCGGGUCUGCACAGCCCCAAGCAGUUCUUGAUCCUCCUGACAAGAAUGAGCCCGACUUGGUGAUCCUACUACGUUCAGAAGCCAACACACUGUGACAAUGGGGAGUUUGAGCCAUCCUUUAGAGGAGCCAGAGUAUUGCUUUAGAAAACCAGCUGUGACCUUCAAGUUGAAGGAAGGAGAAGAUCCAUGGUUAUUAGAGGAAGAACUUCUAAAUAGGAGCUCCCCAGAAGACUACCAACCUGAUAAAUUAUUAAAGAAGAGCCAAGAAAACCAAGGGAAACAUUUGUAGCAAUCAUCAAAGACAAAAUACUGACCACUGAGAAGAGAAAGUUUCAGGAAAAC